RNAcentral lists this ribosomal RNA (2284 nucleotides) under soil metagenome. Its description in RNAcentral is "bacterial LSU rRNA". It matches the Rfam family "Bacterial large subunit ribosomal RNA", at positions 1 to 2313 of the family's 2925-position model. The record is from RNAcentral.
AAAAGCAAAGAAGAGCACACGGGGAAUGCCUGUGGCUCCUGGAGGCGAGGAAGGACGCGACAAGCUGCGAAAAACUGGGAUUAGGUGCACAUAACCGAUUGACUCCCAGGUAUCCGAAUGGGACAACCCACAGAUUGCAAGAUCUGUAUCCGUAAUGGAGGCCAACCACCUGAACUGAAACAUCUAAGUAGGGUGAGGAAAAGAAAUCAAAGAGAUUCCCUGAGUAGCGGCGAGCGAAACGGGACAAGCCCAAACCAGAGACGUCUAGGCGUGUCUGGGGUUGUAGGACCUCAAUAAUGACAUCAAUCAAAAUCGGAAGCUGUCUGGAAAGACACACAAUACAGGGUGAUAGUCCCGUAUGAGUAAUGAGCGAUGUGAGUGAGGUAUCCUGAGUAGGACGGGGCACGAGCAACCCUGUCUGAAUCUGCGGGGACCAUCCUGCAAGGCUAAAUACUCCCAGGAGACCGAUAGUGAACUAGUACCGUGAGGGAAAGGUGAAAAGAACCGCGCGUAGCGGAGUGAAAUAGAACCUGAAACCGUGUGCUUACAAGCGGUUGGAGCCCUUUAGGGGGUGACAGCGUGCCUUUUGCAUAAUGAGCCUACGAGUUACUCUUCACCAGCAAGGUUAAAGUGUUAUAGACACGGAGCCGUAGCGAAAGCGAGUCUGACAAGGGCGAAUGAGUUGGUGGAGGUAGACGCGAAACUUUAGUGAUCUACCCUUGGGCAGGUUGAAGUUAGGGUAACACCUGAUGGAGGACCGAACCGGUAAACGUUGAAAAGUUUUCGGAUGACCUGAGGGUAGGGGUGAAAGGCUAAUCAAACUGAGAGAUAGCUCGUACUCCCCGAAAUGCCUUUAGGGGCAGCCUUGGAGUUGAGUGUCAUAGAGGUAGAGCUACUGAUUGGACUAGGGGGCUUCACCGCCUACCAAAUCCUGACAAACUCCGAAUACUAUGACAUAUAUCCAGGAGUGAGGCAUAGGGUGCUAAUGUCCUGUGCCAAGAGGGAAAUAACCCAGACCAUCAGCUAAGGUCCCCAAAUAUAUGCUAAGUUGAUCUAACGAAGUCUGAUUGCAUUGACAGCUAGGAUGUUGGCUUGGAAGCAGCCAUUCAUUUAAAGAGUGCGUAACAGCUCACUAGUCGAGCGAUUGGGCGUGGAUAAUAAGCGGGCAUAAAACACAGUACCGAAGCCAUGAAUUGUACAGUAAUGUACAGUGGUAGGGGAGCAUUCUAACAGCACUGAAGGUGUGGCGUAAGCCAUGCUGGAGCAGUUAGAAAAGCAAAUGUAGGCAUAAGUAACGAUAAUGGGGGCGAGAAACCCCCACACCGAUAGACUAAGGUUUCCUGAUCAACGUUAAUCGGAUCAGGGUUAGUCGGGUCCUAAGGCGUAUCCGAAGGGAAAAGUCGAUGGAUAACUGGUUAAUAUUCCAGUACUUGCUUUACUGCGAUGUGGUGACGAAGUAGUGAAAGUUCUGCGCACUGACGAACAUGUGCGUUAAAAGAUGUAGAUAUAGGUUGUGUAGGUAAAUCCGCACGACUUGUCGAAUCCGAUAGUAUCAGGAGUCUUCGGACAAAUGAAUAUGAACCUAAUCAAACUUCCAAGAAAAACCACUAAGCUUCAGGUAACAGCAACCCGUACCGCAAACCGACACAGGUAGUCAAGGAGAGAAUCCUGAGGUGCUCGAGUGAUCCGCGGCUAAGGAACUAGGCAAAUUAACCCUGUAACUUCGGGAAAAAGGGUGCCCUCCGCAAGGAGGGCCACAGUAAAAUGGCUCUGGCGACUGUUUAUCAAAAACACAUGGCUAUGCUAAACUGAAAGGUGAUGUAUAUGGCCUGACACCUGCCCGGUGCUGGAAGGUUAAGAGGAGAGGUUAUUCGCAAGAAGAAGCUUUGAAUUGAAGCCCCAGUAAACGGCGGCCGUAACUAUAACGGUCCUAAGGUAGCGAAAUUCCUUGUCGGGUAAGUUCCGACCUGCACGAAUGGUGUAACGAUCUGGGCACUGUCUCAGCUGUGAGCUCGGUGAAAUUGUAGUAUCGGUGAAGAUGCCGAUUACCCGCAACGGGACGGAAAGACCCCGUGCACCUUCACUAUAGCUUAACAUUGACUUUGGAUAAAUCAUGUGUAGGAUAGGUGGGAGACUUUGAAGCGGUAGCGCUAGCUAUCGUGGAGUCAACGUUGAAAUACCACCCUUGAUUUAUUCGGAGUCUAACUCCGCACAACGGAGGACAUUGCAUGGUGGGUAGUUUGACUGGGGUGGUCGCCUCCAAAAGAGUAUCGGAGGCUUUCAA